RNAcentral lists this long non-coding RNA (288 nucleotides) under Pan troglodytes (chimpanzee). RNAcentral describes it as "lncRNA (ENSPTRG00000053537.1)". The record is from RNAcentral. Lineage: Eukaryota; Metazoa; Chordata; Mammalia; Primates; Hominidae.
AAUAUUAUAUAUUAAAACAUUUCUUUGACCUAGAAAUUUAUUUUUGUCUUCUGAUUUUAAAAGAAAUUAAAACAAUUCAUGGAUCCCUAAGAGUAUUACGGGCCCUAUGCACUAUGACUUCUGUGCCUGAUGAAAAAGGUGACAGCAAAGCAAAGUGAACAUGGAAACAAAAGAUACCAACUGACUUAUUUUGGUGACCAUUUGAAGAUAAAGACACUGAAACUGAAGCCUGGGCCCUUGGCCACCGCGCUCCAUUCCUUCACACGCAUCCCUACUCCUUACCCAUAA